GACGAACGCUGGCGGCGUGCUUAACACAUGCAAGUCGAACGGACAGGCCCGGCUUUUGUGGGGUGCUCGAGUGGCGAACGGGUGAGUAACACGUGAGUAACCUGCCCUUAACUUUGGGAUAACUUCAGGAAACUGGGGCUAAUACCGGAUAGGAGAUCCUGCUGCGUGGUGGGGGUUGGAAAGUUUCGGCUGUUGUGGAUGGACUCGCGGCUUAUCCGCUUGUUGGUGGGGUAGUGGCUUACCAAGGCUUUGACGGAUAGCCGGCCUGAGAGGGUGAACGGGCACAUGGGGACUGCGAUACGGAGCAGACUCCUACGGGAGGCAGUAGUCGGAAGCAUGGCACAAUGAGCGGAAGCCUGAGGUAGCAAUGUUGCGUGCGGGAUGACGGGUUUCGGGUUGUAAACAGCUGUGGCCGUUGACGAAGCGGUAGUGACGGUAACUGGUAAAGAAGCACCGGCUAACUACGUG
Molecule: ribosomal RNA, 468 nt
Filed under: uncultured bacterium
Lineage: Bacteria
Description: partial 16S ribosomal RNA
Rfam family: Bacterial small subunit ribosomal RNA
Source: RNAcentral